AGAAUCAACGCUGGCGGCGUGCCUAACACAUGCAAGUCGAACGAGAAAGGGUAGCAAUACCUGAGUAAAGUGGCGCACGGGUGAGUAACACGUGACUAACCUACCUUUUAGUGGGGGAUAACCUAGGGAAACCUGGGCUAAUACCGCAUAAUACCUACGGGUCAAAGCAGCAAUGCGCUGAUAGAGGGGGUCGCGGCCGAUUAGCUAGUUGGCGGGGUAAUGGCCCACCAAGGCAGUGAUCGGUAUCCGGCCUGAGAGGGCGCACGGACACACUGGAACUGAAACACGGUCCAGACUCCUACGGGAGGCAGCAGUGGGGAAUUUUGCGCAAUGGGGGAAACCCUGACGCAGCAACGCCGCGUGGAGGAUGAAGUCCCUUGGGACGUAAACUCCUUUCGAUCGGGACGAUAAUGACGGUACCGGAAGAAGAAGCCCGGCUAACUUCGUGCCAGCAGCCGC
Molecule: ribosomal RNA, 459 nt
Filed under: uncultured bacterium
Lineage: Bacteria
Description: SSU rRNA
Rfam family: Bacterial small subunit ribosomal RNA
Source: RNAcentral